Herpailurus yagouaroundi (jaguarundi) is the source of this 6179-nucleotide long non-coding RNA. RefSeq lists it as uncharacterized. NCBI's taxonomy places the organism in Eukaryota, Metazoa, Chordata, Mammalia, Carnivora, Felidae. The record is from RefSeq and is a predicted model, not a curated record. The transcript has 2 exons.
CAGAUUCUGUGUCUUCCUCUCUCUGCCCAUUCCCCGUUUGCACGCUCUCUCUCUCUCUCUCUCUCUCUCUCUCUCAAAAAUAAAUAAACAUUAAAAAAAAUUUUUAAAAAAGAACAGUAGGUAAGCCCAUCGCUAGCCCAGCCCCACAAUCUCUGCAGCUCUAUCUGCCCCAAUAUUGGACAAUGUCCAUCAGGAAAAAUAUAUAUUAUCUAUGUAUGUGUAUAUGUAUAUAUGUGUACAUAUAUUUCAUAUAUAUGUGUGUAUAUGUGUAAACAUAUAUAUACAUAUAUUCAUAGUUCUCAGCCUAGAUCUUAUAGUCAGUUACAAUCUUUGUAAUUGCAUUUUAGCUAAAGGCAUGGUGAAAAUUGCUUGCAGAUCUUAGCUCAUUUGAAAUGAACCCCGGUGUGGUAUGGAGGCUUUCUAACACAUCGACACUUUUCCAUAUAUUUCAGAAAACCUUUUUAGAUACAGUACAGGGGAAUAUCUUUUAAACAAGCUCCCUUCAUGCAGUUCCUAAACAGAUGAUGGCAUUUGACUCACUAUGUCCCACUCACUCGUCAUCAGCUACUGGGGGAGAAGUAGAUGGGCCAGAGUCAGAGGAAACCUGAGAAAUGAUAAUGAAACGCCUGUAAAAAAAAAAAAAUCAAUGACACUUAUGGAAAUGAGCUCUUUACCACCCUUUCUAUGACCUUUCCUUCCUUCUUUUUUUUUUUUUUUUUUUUUGACCCUUCUCAUAGGCAGCCUUAGUUUACAGCAGGAGCAUCAUCCAAUGAGGUUCCAGAGAAAAAAAAUGAUUACAGAGAUAGCCACUAUUUGCAAGAGCAUAUCAGAUCAUGGCAAAGCACAUCAUGUCAACACUCCCCCUGCGACAAUCUAGUUUUUACCGGAGUUAAUUAAAGCAAUUAAUUCCCUUCCCUUGCAAAGCAGGGUGAUUACACAAAUAGAUAAUUUCCCAAUCCAUACCCAUAAGGCAAGUGAUUUCUCUGCCCUUCCCUCAGUAUAGCAAAGAACGUAACUGAAGCAAAUUAUCCUUUUUAAAAAAAAUAUGACCUUUCAGAAAUUCUCCAUCAACUUUCUCCGCUGUGUUUUCCUAUCUGGUUGGAUGGUGGAACCACAUCUCCACACAGACACAGGACUCCAAGGUUAAUUAAGCCUUUCACAUAGCAAAGAUCGGUGGCGUCCAAACUGUAACCCCAGUGACAGGAGCAGAAUGACAGAUGAACACUCCGACAGUCACCACUGAGUCCUCUUCAACAACAAUUUACCAGUGUGGGUGAUGCUGACAAUAAUUAGGCAAACAAAAUGCCAAACAAUUGUAAGAAAAGCUGUCAAACAUUUUGUGUUAUUAUCCCCUGCACAGGCCUGUGAUUUAUCAUCACAGAAAAAGUACGUUAAAAAAAAAAAAUCUCUAAACAGUGACAUUUUGUUCAAAUUACAACCCCCGGCUUUCCGGACUGCCUGCAGACUGACAUCUCCAAUGUCAGAUGUGACGCUCAGCAAUUUGUUCCCUCAUUCGUUGAGCGGGUCGCUGGGGUGGGUUCCUGCCACUGUCGGGGAGAGCUGGUGUGCCAAGAGCAGGAGCAAAGCACCUCUCAAUGCACGGGAAGCCACUCGCCUUUCAGAUGUCAAAAUGAAAUACAACAACUGCCAUCUACAUUUCGUUCUUCAAUUCUUUGGGUCAUGCUGGUCCCAAAAUUUGAAAUACGGUCUUUUGCACCAAAUCUCCUACCAUCACCUCUUCCUCCCUUUCUACCCAAGACCCCAUUUGGGAUUCUGGACUUGGAUGAAGUAUACUUUAAGGGCUUUGAUUUUUCAAUAUAAAAAUCGAAUUUCCAGGUAAUGUCCCCGAUGGCUGUAACUGGACCAGAAAGAAAAAAAAAUGGAAACAAUACUUUUCUAAUUCAAUUUCUUUACAGGUUGGCACAGUUCUACAGAUAAAUUCGGAUACACUGAGAAGUACUGCAGGGAGACCUCCUUCCAGGGAUGCCAGGCCAAUGAGACAGACGUAAGGUGCUAAUAUUACGAUUUUGUAGAGAGUCCACCGGCAGUCUCUAACUUAGAUGUCUGGGUUGCUAAGUGUUGAAGUGGACCCUGGAGGUCACGUAAAAUACCUUUUCAACUAAUGAGAGAAUUCCUGUCUAUGAUACUUCUGGCUGAGGUUCUGAACUGGAACGCUUCCAAGGAUGGGGGUGAGGCAGCCUUCUGCAUUACAAACACCUGAAAAGCCUAAAGUUUGGGUCUUUGCUGUCUGCAACAGCCCCUCCUACCCUGUCCCGACAUCAAGAUCCACUCAAGGGUAAGAACCCCUACUCCCUAUAUAUCGCCUCGUUUGAAUAGCCAUUUCUUUCUAUCCUGGUGAAAGGGCUCCUUCUCACUCCUUCCUUCAUCUUUUUCUCAAUCUUUACACACACAAGAGAACUUUAUCUUCUGAUGACGCUCUUUUGUGACAGUUUGGUUAGUCAUUAAGUCUCAUCAGUAGAGUAAUUCUUCAUUUUAUUUGGGUUUUGAUUUUUAGAAAGAGCCAAGAGUCAUUUUACUUGAAAUAUGGCAAAUCAUGCAGGUUAGCACACAGACUCAAUGAGCUCUAAUUUCCCCCCCGACCAUGUAUCUUCUUCUCUUAAUCUUUUCACAAGGCGUUCAAUAACUCCAUGCUGACUGCUGGCUACCCAGGGACCCUCUCUCUAGAGUAAGCCCUGGUGGAUGGCACUUAGGACCUUUUCCAACCAUCUUUCCUACCAAAAUCCACAUGCCCUAUGUCUCAUAUCCGAGAAAGGUGAUAGUGAAUUCCGUGGAAAAAUGUAAACUAGGGUGUUGACAGCUUCUAUCAGAACACUUUGAUGUGUUGCAACCUAACGUUUACACAUCAAUGGUGACUCACUUCCUUAGCCCAGCAAAGUAAAACUAAGGUUUUAUUCUCUCUUUUUUUUCUUCCUCUCUCUCCUUUUUCUCUUUCCUCUUUCCCAUUCCUCUUCAUAGACAAAUGUAAGUUAUCCCCCACAACCUGUUCAUCUAAUUCUGGAAGCUGUUUCUCAAGGGAAAACCCAUAAGGAAGGGCUAGGUAAGGGAUGUGCAGAACUCACUGAAAAGUCACUUCAGCUACAGAAGGAAAACUCAGAGGUCUACAGUCUGUGGAAGGCAAGUCUGUGGUAUCCACUUUGAAGAUAAAGAACAGUUUUGACCAACUUUACCAAAUUGAUUUUAACACCCUUUGGUCCUGUGGACUUCCAACCUACCCUGAUUGAUCUAGGCUGAUGAGACACAAAAGCAUUAGCAGUAAAGACCAAAAUAAACGAGCUUUUAGAAGUCUUCCCUCUCGUUCAAGAACAUUGAAAUUUAUAUGAGUUAUACCCACAGUCACUGGAGGAAAGGUAAUAUGAAUUCACCCUUCCAGUAAAGAAGAGGCUGAAAUAAUAACUUUGAGUUCCUUUAAACCCAAUUGUGACGUAGUCUAACAUGUGACAUGGCUGAAAUAUAUUAUCUUUCCUUUCUGACACGAGAAGUUGAAUGUGUGUAUGAAGUUUUAUUUCUUUGUUUGUUUUAGAUCUUCUACAGGUAACCACAGUCUUUGAAACAAAGUGGCUCAUUUUAUAUAUCUGGACCCUUUCAGGCAACAAAGCGAGAAACUGAAAGGGGUGGAAUUACCCAACGGAGUCACAGAUGGAAAUAUAGUUUGGUGAAGAAACAGGAAGCAAUAGAAAUGGAAGGACUCCCAUAUAUUUUUCUUUACAGUCUAAAUAUGCUGCACACAUGAAGACUGCAACAGAUCCAGAUCAAAAUGGCCCUUGCUGUGCUUUGGGAAAUCUGGGCUGUGAAGAUCUUCUGCAGUAGAAAGGGUGGUUCUAUCACGCUACCUGGAAGGCCAGUCUGGGGUGUGCUCACUGGAUGUGUUGAGAUCAAUUACCCACAAGUCCCCGCGGAGCCUCUCUUCGGUAAGAACAGGGGAAGCCCGAGCCAUUGGUAUUCUGUGCACACAUACUAACAGCUUGUGUGCAAUCAUUUCUUGCAGAGGCAAUCAUUUCUCAGCUGCUUUCAGAUUCUAUUUAUUGUUUAUUUUCCCCUUGGCUGAAAAGGUUUCUCCUUCAUACUAAGCAGAGGCACCAAUCUAGGAGAAUGCAUUAGAAACUGCUCUAUUGGUAUCCUGCUGGAUUUCCCAUGGGGUUGAAAUGCUCAAACAAAACGUGAUGAAAAUUUUAGGGUGUUUUGGGUGACUUUAGUCCCAAGGUGUCACCAGGGUGACUUGGUUUCCUGCUCUUCGAGAUUUAGGCAAUGCUUGUUUCAGAAGGGAGAUCUGGCAGACCUUGAAAAUGAGGCGGCUUUUACAUCAGCCUUUCAGUGGUGGAAAAAUCCAUGUACUCGCGAUGUCAAGAUACUAUGCCCUCGUUUGGGUGCAGGUGUGAAGGGUGAAUGAAUUCCUUGAAGAGGAAAAUGUGGCCGUGGGCACUGUGUAGUGGUGCAAUUCAGUCUUUGCACUGGGUCUUUCAAGAAGUCCAAAAGGAAGUACAAAGAUUUUCUUCUCACGUCUUCCUAAGACAAACAGAUGAUGACGAGGCAGAUAUAAGGGAAGCUUUGGGGGUAGAGAAGAGAAGGUCAUUCCUUUCCUAAUCUUACCAAAGUUUACAAUUUGUCUUCCUUUGGGUAGUGUCUAUUUGGUGCUUGCCCCACAAUUGAGUUGUAAGCUCCAUGGAGACAGGGAACGUGUUCCUGCUCUGUUCAUUACUACAUUGCCAAUGCCGAUCACAGUUCUUGGCACAGUGCAACAAAGGAUAAAUAAACACUUAGUCUCUUUUAAACCAUUGGUUCUUCUUCUCCAAGUGUGACGUUGGUAUGGAUUUUCUUGAAGUUUGAUGAUGACCAAAGCCAGUAGUGGAAUGAAAAUCAGCUGGAAAGCGUGGUCUCUGAUUCACAGGGAAUUCUAAUAUUUCCUGGUACAUUUUGGUGUACUGGUCUGUAACCCAUUUUUAAGCCAUAAAACAGAAACACCAAUGCUGUCUUUUUUAAUGAUAAGAUAUAAUAGCGGUCAUUUAUACAAGUCAAGAAAUAUUUUCUGAGCCCCUAUAUUGUGCCAGGAACUGUUCUUGAUUCCUGAUGAACAUGGCACAUGGUUGUUCAUGGAGCUUUCAGUCAAAUAAUGCCUAUAUGAUUGGAACUGGUGGGCAUGGAGUUCAAAACAGCUGUUCUAAGCCAAACUGCUCUAAACAAGUGAUGUGGAUAUCAUCAGGGACUUGCUACAAUUUUGAUUAUAUUUAGCUCUCCUGACACCUCUCUCACCAGCUAAGUUGGGUAGGAAGAGGUCUACCUGGGAAGCACAGAAUGAAGUGGGAAGAGAGGUACCCAGGGGUCAGUGCGGUAACACUGUUCUUAGCAAAUGGUCCCCUGGUAAUUUUCAAAAAGGUAAGAUAUUGAAAUAUUGAAUUGAUCUCAUGAUUGAUCUCAUGAUAUGGCCACGACAGCUCUAAAAUGGUUCUAUAAUGUAAACCUGCCUUCAGUGAGUGAUCUAAAGUUUGAACAACUUAUGGAACAGGGUGGGGAGUCAGUUGGCACAGAUAAUUGAAGUCGUGGCUCCAGACCACUUGCCGAUUGAUUCAUGAGAAAUUUAUUUUACAUUUCUAAGCAUCAGUUUCAUAUGUAGAGAGGAGAUAGCAUUAUAUACAAGGUUGUCGUGAAUACAAUAUAAAAUGAUAUAGUGCAUUGUUAGCAUGGUAAGUGACACAUAAGAGCAGCUGAAUACGUUAUUAUUCAACAGAGACUGAAUAUUUCAACGAAUCACAAUAUUCAUUAAUCACUACAUUUCAUUAACUGCAACACUCAGAGGAGAGGAGCGCAGGAUAUAUGACUGGCAGAUAAGACAACUGAUGCUUAAAGGGAUAGAACAUCAAUACUUUCACUGCUCUGGGCACAGGGGAGGCUUGCACUUCACUUUCCCAUUGAAAUUAGAUAUGGCCAUGUGACUUGCUUAGGCUAAUGAAACAUGAAGAGAGAAGCAGGUGUUGGUUUUGGGUGGAAGCCCCUAAAAGCCAUCUUCCCUUCCCUGCACCACCAUGUAGAGUGAUGUUUCAGGAGGUGGACCGUCCAGCGUCUUGUGUCCUGAAGUGAUGACAGUGCAGAGCAGAGCCCCCAGCUAAUACUGAUGGAAUGCAGCGUGAGCAAGAAAUAAAUGCCCGUUGUUUUUGCCACUGAGA